This is a long non-coding RNA of Osmia bicornis bicornis, 351 nucleotides long. RefSeq lists it as uncharacterized. The record is from RefSeq and is a predicted model, not a curated record. Lineage: Eukaryota; Metazoa; Arthropoda; Insecta; Hymenoptera; Megachilidae. The transcript has 4 exons.
ACGCGUGUGUAGUGUGAUAUAAACAAGAGGGAUCGACUAAGGCCUUGAAUAUUGUUGGGCAUCGCUGAUAGAAGUCUUCGAGUAAAGAUUCAUCGUUGGAGAGUGAGGUGCGCAGCGUAUGGCGUAGUGCAUCGUUCCUCUUCGAAGCUUCGUCCGUUUAGCACGUGUUUGCAACAGAAGUACAUUCUAACAAAACAUGAAAAGCCGAAUAUGGAACCAUUAAAUGAAUCUUCGUCAAAUUAAAGUGCCGGUAUGUCAACACCCUACCUACUACACUACUCUGCAACAUCAAUUUACUUAGGAGACCAUCCGCCAGAGGUUUUCUUCUAGCUACUUUUCAACAGCCACUCA